UGCGCAUGAGAAAGAAACUGGCAAGGCAGCUAAGUUGUGUUUGGGUAUUUGCUUGUGUGAAUACCCAUAAGGGACUUUAUGAAGGGGAACAUAAUAUCAGGAUCUCUUUGAAGGGGAACAUAUAGUCAGUGACACCUCUGGGAACACCAUCUGUUUGGAGGAAGCAGCUAUAAUGCGAUUUUAAGAUCGUAAGGAUGGACAAGUAUCAGUGGUAGUACGGUGCAAAAAACUUUUUCCAGGGCCAGCAAUAUAUCACAACAUCACUGGUUCAUUCACAAGAUAGGAAGCAGGAAGAUAUUGGGUUUGGCAAACAACCUGGAAGACCACAGAGCAGCUCAGGAGGUGACUGAAG
Molecule: long non-coding RNA, 352 nt
Organism: Electrophorus electricus (electric eel)
Lineage: Eukaryota; Metazoa; Chordata; Actinopteri; Gymnotiformes; Gymnotidae
Source: RefSeq, a predicted model, not a curated record